Molecule: ribosomal RNA, 465 nt
Filed under: Vreelandella stevensii
Lineage: Bacteria; Pseudomonadati; Pseudomonadota; Gammaproteobacteria; Oceanospirillales; Halomonadaceae
Description: partial 16S ribosomal RNA
Rfam family: Bacterial small subunit ribosomal RNA
Source: RNAcentral
CCUACGGGGGGCAGCAGUGGGGAAUAUUGGACAAUGGGCGAAAGCCUGAUCCAGCCAUGCCGCGUGUGUGAAGAAGGCCUUCGGGUUGUAAGGCACUUUCAGUGGGGAAGAAAGCCUUGGGGCUAAUACCCUCGAGGAAGGACAUCACCCACAGAAGAAGCACCGGCUAACUCCGUGCCAGCAGCCGCGGUAAUACGGAGGGUGCGAGCGUUAAUCGGAAUUACUGGGCGUAAAGCGCGCGUAGGCGGUCUGAUAAGCCGGUUGUGAAAGCCCCGGGCUCAACCUGGGAACGGCAUCCGGAACUGUCAGGCUAGAGUGCAGGAGAGGAAGGUAGAAUUCCCGGUGUAGCGGUGAAAUGCGUAGAGAUCGGGAGGAAUACCAGUGGCGAAGGCGGCCUUCUGGACUGACACUGACGCUGAGGUGCGAAAGCGUGGGUAGCAAACAGGAUUAGAUACCCCAGUAGUC